UCUAGGUUGAUAUCAGAGAUGCACAUGACCUGAAGGAUCUGCAUGUGAUGCCAGUUGAGCCCCAGAAAGGCAGUGCGACCUCAGAAUUGCUGAGCAGAAAAAAGACUGCUGGAGAAGUAGCUGGAGUGAGAAUCAAGACAACCAGAUCACAGGACUGGACCUUCCAUAAUCCACGUGAUACUGGGGAGGGGGCGGAGCCUUCUCUGAGAAGCUUGGAAGUGAGCUGUGCCUGGCCAGUCUUGGGGGAGGGGCUGCAUUUCACGAGGCUGCAGCUGACAAGAAGCUUCAAGGUAAUGGCUGUCUUAAAGCUACUUAUUUUCUGGGAAUUUCUUCGGGGGUUUGGUGUUACGGUGAAAAAGAAAAAAACAACAACAACAACAACCAGACAUUGUUGCCUGGGAGAGGUAGAAAUGGAAUACGGUUUGGGGAGAAUUGCUGUUAUGGUGACAGAAUCAAUCCCAUGA
This 464-nucleotide long non-coding RNA is filed under the name Canis lupus familiaris (dog). Its description in RNAcentral is "lncRNA (ENSCAFG00040021813.1)". Lineage: Eukaryota; Metazoa; Chordata; Mammalia; Carnivora; Canidae. The record is from RNAcentral.